AUUUAGCGGAUCGUACAUAUCAGAAUGACACAUGCUGUUCUGAUUGUAGAGUUAUGUGAAAUGGAAAGAAAGAGAUACAUGUACAUACAGAGACUGUUUUGAUAUUAAGGUGUAAAAAUGAGCUACCAGAAAAGAUGCUGAAAAUUUUAAAACUGUUUUAACAAGAGCAUAAAAAAAUAGAGAAAAAAGAACAAUACCAGGUCUGGACCUUUGUGGCUGCAUGCAAUUAAUUCUAAAAUACCAGGAAACAAGAUGUAGCUGCACAGCAGACAUGGCAGAUCUUAAAAUUGCUAAUAGACAUCAAUUCAACAUUUUCGAGCUGCAUAUCGAAAAUGAAAGCAUUCCUUUUCAUAGAAUCCAAGAAAUCUUUUAACCAAGUCAAGUGGUUAUUAGACCUGCUAUCAUGAAAAUAUUAACAUAAAUAUUACAGUCACAUGUAAUAUC
This is a long non-coding RNA of Mytilus californianus (California mussel), 444 nucleotides long. RefSeq lists it as uncharacterized. The transcript is spliced from 3 exons. The record is from RefSeq and is a predicted model, not a curated record. Lineage: Eukaryota; Metazoa; Mollusca; Bivalvia; Mytilida; Mytilidae.